GUUUGAUGUCUCCGAGAGAAAAUAAUAAUUCACUUAAAUGUUUUAUAGAUAAAGUAACAAACCUAUUUUGAAAAUGUAAGCAGUAGAAAGAUUAUAGGUAUUUAUGUCAAAAUGUAGUGAGUGAAUAUAAAAACUUGUACUUUGACACUGUACUUAAGAGUUAAGUACAGUGUAUUUAAAUGUAUCUAUGUCUAUACUUUGUAUGCUUCAUUAUGUAGAGUUGCUUUAUACUUUAGGCAACAGUUGGAGAAAGACUGUUUUAACGUGAAAAUGCCUUCAAAACAAAACACACUGAAUAUAAAGACACAACUUUCAUAGGUUGAGGAUGACUUCAUUUUGAAUACAAGAUGGACUAGAGGCAAAAAAGCAGCAUAAAAGAAGAAGGAAGAGAGUCAGGGUUGAAGUUGUUAGACAUUUAAAAAAAAAUUAUUGACAGUUCAAAAAGCCUGGAAAAAACCCCAGUAAGUGCAAAAGCCAAAGUACACCAAAAGUCACUAAUUAGAAAUAUAAUCCCAGUGCCAACUAAACUACUCCAUAAUAAAAAAAAAUAGUACAAUUUUGAAUAAAAAAAAAUCCUAAAGCAACAAUGAAAUAAAAAAGGUAUAAAAGUGAAAUGCAUAUUUGCCCUGCAGAGCGUCCUUAGAAAAGCCAAGGGGCUACAAUUAAAACACUGCCAAAAUGGAAAACAGCAAGCACAGCCACUAGCCAGACUGCGCGCACUCUUCUUGAAUUUAUAUUAGAAACAAUACAAGAGAGCUACUGCACAUACAAAGUGGAAAGCAAAGUUCACAAAACACAAUUCUGGAUGAAACUUUGGAUGGAAAGAAAUAGCAAAGCUCUUAAAAGUCCUUCUUUGAGGUUUUAUCUCUGGUGAUAUAACUCUUGGAUCCAGCCAGGAGCACAAGGACUGCAGCUGGGACAUGGACAUUUCUUUUGCUAGAGCAACAAAUAAGUGCCUUUCCUCAUGUGUAAAAAAUCUGGUGCAAUACCUGAUGUAGCAUAUUUACGCCAUCAAUGACACUAUACAGGGUAAGCAAGACAGACAGUACUUGCCCAAGUGAAAUCUAAGUAGAGAAAUCCAUUCAAACCUACUGAAGUGAAUAAAUCUCAAAAAACUACAUGUUUCCAUCCAUUAUGUAAAUUACUUCGAACCUGUGAUGUCAUGGUCCUGGGUCGUUGACCCAGCGUUUUGUGUUUAUUCUGAUUUGUAUUAGUUUAGGGUUGACCCUGAAGUUAGUGUAUAUUCAGCCCUACCUGUGUCUGUCCUUGGUGCUCUGUUCUUG
This is a long non-coding RNA of Astatotilapia calliptera (eastern happy), 1283 nucleotides long. The record is from Ensembl. Lineage: Eukaryota; Metazoa; Chordata; Actinopteri; Cichliformes; Cichlidae.